GGGUAAGUUCCGACCUGCACGAAUCGUGUAACGACCGGACCGCUGUCUCGGAGUGGUUCUCGGCGAAAUUGUAGUGGCGGUGAAGAUGCCGCCUGCCCGCAGUAGGACGGAAAGACCCUAUGCACCUUUACUAUAAGCUGGUAUUGGGUUCUGGUCUUUAAUGCGUAGCAUAGGUGGGAGACGUUGAAUCGGCGGUUUCGGUCGCCGAGGAGUCAUCAGUGAAAUACCACUCUUUAUUGAUUAGGAUUCUAACCUCGACCCUGUUAGCCAGGCGAGGGACAGUGCCUGCGGGUUAGUUUGACUGGGGCGGUUUCCUCCUAAAAAGUAACGGAGGAGUGCGAAGGUACACUCAGCACGGUUGGCAACCGUGCGUCGAGCAUAUGGGUAGAAGUGUGCUUAACUGUGAGACCUACAAGUCGAGCAGAUGCGAAAGCAGGCCCAAGUGAUCCGAUGGUUGAAUGUGGAAUUGCCAUCGCUCAACGGACAAAAGGUACGCUAGGGAUAACAGGCUGAUCGCGCCCAAGAGUUCAUAUCGACGGCGCGGUUUGGCACCUCGAUGUCGGC
This 564-nucleotide ribosomal RNA is filed under the name Chloroparvula japonica. RNAcentral describes it as "partial Bacterial large subunit ribosomal RNA". It matches the Rfam family "Bacterial large subunit ribosomal RNA", at positions 1974 to 2536 of the family's 2925-position model. The record is from RNAcentral. Lineage: Eukaryota; Viridiplantae; Chlorophyta; Chloropicophyceae; Chloropicales; Chloropicaceae.